Molecule: ribosomal RNA, 306 nt
Filed under: uncultured Psychrilyobacter sp.
Lineage: Bacteria; Fusobacteriati; Fusobacteriota; Fusobacteriia; Fusobacteriales; Fusobacteriaceae
Description: bacterial SSU rRNA
Rfam family: Bacterial small subunit ribosomal RNA
Source: RNAcentral
GAUGAACGCUGACAGAAUGCUUAACACAUGCAAGUCGACUGGAAUUCUUCUUCGGAAGAUAGUACGGUGGCGGACGGGUGAGUAACGCGUAAAGAAUUUGCCCUCUAGACUGGGACAACUAAUCGAAAGGUUAGCUAAUACCGGAUAUUAUGAGACCUUGGCAUCAAGGACUUAUGAAAGCUAUAUGCGCUGGAGGAGAACUUUGCGUCCCAUUAGGUAGUUGGUAGGGUAACGGCCUACCAAGGCGACGAUCAGUAGCCGGCCUGAGAGGGUGAACGGCCACACUGGAACUGAGACACGGUCCAG